This is a long non-coding RNA of Amphimedon queenslandica, 1157 nucleotides long. RefSeq lists it as uncharacterized. Lineage: Eukaryota; Metazoa; Porifera; Demospongiae; Haplosclerida; Niphatidae. The transcript has 4 exons. The record is from RefSeq and is a predicted model, not a curated record.
AUUACAAGGUUAGUCGAUCAUGUUAAUAGCUAAGAUAUAUAUGUAUAAUCAUCAGUGUUUGAGCUAGCAUGAGUUUUUGUGUCCAUGGACUCGCAUUUUACUCCAGGGACUCGCAUUUUGCCCUAAAGACUCACAUUUUCCCAAGGAUUUUUACAAGGCACUGUUUAGUGAUCCGACAGUUGGUGCACUAAUUAUGUUACUAUUGAACUGUAUGCAUAUGAAUAUCAUUAAAAUCGGGCCACGCCUAUCUAACACGUGUACCAUUAAAUGGCCACUUGCACUGUGUUCAAACUGUUCAUCUAUCUGUUAGCGUGGGAAACACUGUACCAGAUGGCCACUGCCUCUCUUCUGGAUAAUGUGAUUAGUCUAGAUGUGUUAGUCCCUCCAGAAGCUCUUUCAAAUCAUGAUGAUAGGAGUGUAAUUCCUACUGCACCUGCCGUGAGCUGUCAAGAAGCAGCUAGACUUAACGAGUCCAGUUCUGAUGAUGUAAGUGUAGGACUGAAGUUUUCCAGCUGGAAUGAAGUACGAGAAGCUAUUGAUAAUUUACAGAGGAAAAAUUUUUGCCAGUUUUAUGUUAGAGACAGCAGAACUUUGAAUCAGGCUCAAAAGUUCAGUCCUAAGCUAGUCAACAAAGUUCCAGUCUCUUAAGUAUGCUUUCAUACAUUUGUCCUGUAUUCAUGGGUGGUCACACUUUUAAAUCAAGGCCAAAAGAUGGAAGUAGACCACAGAAAAUGACAUGCAAACAAGAAUGUCAGGCAUACGUUAAAAUCAGGCUUUCAGAAGACAAACUUCAUUUAGAAAUUAAAGAAGUAAUGCUGGACCACAAUCAUCAGUUAAGUUCUAAAGUAUUUCUGAACCUUCCUCACCAACAAAGGCUGGAUGAAAAUACAAAAGCUGACAUUAAAAAGCAUUAAAUUUGAAAUCAAACAAGAAACUUAAGUUAUUUCUACUACAGGUAAAAGCAUUACUUUUUGGGACUUGACUAAUAUUGCAACCAAGUUAAAGCAUAAGAAGGGCACCAAUACAAAUGAUUUACAGAGAGUUGUGUCAGAGCUUCGAAAAGAUCCUACUGUUACUGUGGAAGUAUUCACAGACACUGAUGACAACUUGAUGGGAAUUUUUUACCAGGAUGAAACAAUGAAGCACACCUUUAGCAU